RNAcentral lists this long non-coding RNA (364 nucleotides) under Olea europaea (common olive). Its description in RNAcentral is "long non-coding RNA (OEUR_LNC010643)". The record is from RNAcentral. Lineage: Eukaryota; Viridiplantae; Streptophyta; Magnoliopsida; Lamiales; Oleaceae.
UUUUCUAAACUUUUCUCAAGUAUAAAGUACAGAUUAUGCAUUUAUAUACUUGAUAAUUAGUCAGUAGAAGAAAAUGUAUAUUCUCUUUGAGUAAAAAAAGUAAUGAAUUCUUUAUUCUGGGAGAAAAACAAAAAAGUAUAUCUUUUAAAUAACAAAGAAAAACAAAUUUUCAACCAUGGAGAAUCCAAAGGCCAAAGAGGAUCGGCUCCGAGUCCGUUUACCAGACAGAUAGUUACGAAAAGUCAGAGAGAGAGCAAGCGGGCGAGCGAGCCAAGAGAAAAGCUAUCAAGAUCAUAUAUAUAUGUAUACACACAGUUAUAUACAAGAUAUAUACAAUAAUAAUUAGAGAGAGAGAGAGAGAGAG